RNAcentral lists this ribosomal RNA (408 nucleotides) under uncultured bacterium. RNAcentral describes it as "bacterial SSU rRNA". It matches the Rfam family "Bacterial small subunit ribosomal RNA", at positions 355 to 776 of the family's 1533-position model. The record is from RNAcentral.
UGGGGAAUAUUGGGCAAUGGAGGAGACUCUGACCCAGCGACGCCGCGUGCGGGAUGAAGGCCUUCGGGUUGUAAACCGCUUUCAGCAGGGAAGAAGCGAAAGUGACGGUACCUGCAGAAGAUGCACCGGCUAACUAUGUGCCAGCAGCCGCGGUAAUACGGGGGGUGCGAGCGUUAAUCGGAAUUACUGGGCGUAAAGGGUGCGUAGGUUGUUGAUUAAGUUAAUAUUUAAAUAACUGGGCUUAACCUGGUAGUGGUAUUAAGACUGAUUAACUAGAGUAUAGGAGAGGGUAGUGGAAUUUCCGGUGUAGCGGUGAAAUGCGUAGAUAUUCGGAGGAACACCAGUGGCGAAGGCGGCUCACUGGCUCGAUACUGACGCUGAGGUGCGAAAGCGUGGGGAGCAAACAGG